This is a transfer RNA of 74 nucleotides. It matches the Rfam family "tRNA". Rfam says of the family: Transfer RNA (tRNA) molecules are approximately 80 nucleotides in length. Their secondary structure includes four short double-helical elements and three loops (D, anti-codon, and T loops). Further hydrogen bonds mediate the characteristic L-shaped molecular structure. tRNAs have two regions of fundamental functional importance: the anti-codon, which is responsible for specific mRNA codon recognition, and the 3' end, to which the tRNAs corresponding amino acid is attached (by aminoacyl-tRNA synthetases). tRNAs cope with the degeneracy of the genetic code in two manners: having more than one tRNA (with a specific anti-codon) for a particular amino acid; and 'wobble' base-pairing, i.e. permitting non-standard base-pairing at the 3rd anti-codon position.
GCCCCCGUAGCUCAGCUGGACAGAGCAGCGCAGUCCUAGUGCGCGGGCCGGCGGUUCGAAUCCGUCCGGGGGCA